UACAGAGGGUGCGAGCGUUAAUCGGAAUUACUGGGCGUAAAGCGCGCGUAGGCGGCUUUGCAAGUCGGGUGUGAAAUCCCCAGGCUUAACCUGGGAACUGCAUUCGAGACUGCAUUGCUAGAGUAUGGGAGAGGGAAGUGGAAUUUCCGGUGUAGCGGUGAAAUGCGUAGAUAUCGGAAGGAACACCGGUGGCGAAGGCGGCUUCCUGGACCGACACUGACGCUGAGGCGCGAAAGCUAGGGGAGCAAACGGG
Molecule: ribosomal RNA, 253 nt
Filed under: uncultured bacterium
Lineage: Bacteria
Description: partial 16S ribosomal RNA
Rfam family: Bacterial small subunit ribosomal RNA
Source: RNAcentral